Molecule: ribosomal RNA, 254 nt
Filed under: uncultured bacterium
Lineage: Bacteria
Description: partial 16S ribosomal RNA
Rfam family: Bacterial small subunit ribosomal RNA
Source: RNAcentral
GACGAACCGUGCGAACGUUAUUCGGAAUCACUGGGCUUAAAGCGCGUGUAGGCGGGAGGGCACGUCCGUCGCUGAAAUCCCCCGGCUCAACCGGGGAACGGGCGCGGAUACGACCUUCCUUGAGGGGCGUAGGGGGACCUGGAAUUUCCGGUGGAGCGGUGAAAUGCGUAGAGAUCGGAAAGAACACCAACGGCGAAAGCACUCUGCUGGGCCGACACUAACACUGAGAGACGAAAGCUAGGGGAGCGAAUGGG